This 454-nucleotide ribosomal RNA is filed under the name uncultured bacterium. RNAcentral's name for it is "bacterial SSU rRNA". It matches the Rfam family "Bacterial small subunit ribosomal RNA", at positions 29 to 524 of the family's 1533-position model. The record is from RNAcentral.
AGCGAACGCUGGCGGCAGGCUUAACACAUGCAAGUCGAACGGGCGUAGCAAUACGUCAGUGGCAGACGGGUGAGUAACGCGUGGGAACGUACCUUUUGGUUCGGAACAACCCAGGGAAACUUGGGCUAAUACCGGAUAAGCCCUUACGGGGAAAGAUUUAUCGCCGAAAGAUCGGCCCGCGUCUGAUUAGCUAGUUGGUGUGGUAACGGCGCACCAAGGCGACGAUCAGUAGCUGGUCUGAGAGGAUGAUCAGCCACAUUGGGACUGAGACACGGCCCAAACUCCUACGGGAGGCAGCAGUGGGAAUAUUGGACAAUGGGCGCAAGCCUGAUCCAGCCAUGCCGCGUGAGUGAUGAAGGCCCUAGGGUUGUAAAGCUCUUUUGUGCGGGAAGAUAAUGACGGUACCGCAAGAAUAAGCCCCGGCUAACUUCGUGCCAGCAGCCGCCGCGGUAAG